CUCUCUUUGUCUCAGGAGUCGCUUAAAGUGGACAUGAAACACUUCAAGUAUUUAGUAUAAUUGUCGUUCACUGGACAAAUAAGCUGAAGUCCGAGGCUUUUUUCCUCCGUCUGACUGAGGGUACUAUGAAAGCAGAAGCUGUGAGCCGCAAGGAACGAGACAAAUGACGCUCACACCUAGCAGAGCAGCCAGAGGUGGGGAAACAUGCUUACAAGUUCAGGAGCUCUCGACCCAUACCCAUGGGCUCACAAGUCUCAGGCUUUGCAAGUCAGUCUUACUUUACAGCAAAAAAUAUGGAUGCACUCCCAGCAGAGAACAAGACGCAGCUCUACUCUGAACUAUUCUACACUUUGAGAUAUAACCCAGGUAUAAGGGAUACCUUAACCAGCAGCAGCUUGUAUGUAUGCAGCACGUCAUUGUUUUCUUUUUUUCACUUCUACCUUGUCCAUCACUAAACUGAAAAACAAUAGCUGAUCCAUAUCAGGGACUUACUGAGGAUAUUUUUGUUUUAUUCUCCCUCAUAACUCCCCCUGAUAUCUCUAAUACUAUGAACGGGGGAUUUUCUAUGAUGUUCCUGGCUCUCUUUUCAUUUUAAUCAUGACAAUGGGAUCAGAUAAUCCGGGCCCGAGAGCGGCCUUUGAUUGUCCUGAUUGAGACUCUUUUGUUAGACAGAUAUGUAAUAUGCAGUGGUAAGAGGAUUUGGUGCAGUAGAUUGUGUGAUUUAAUCAUGUUUGCGCAGGGAAAGCAGCACUUACAUGCACUCGGGGGGUUAAACCAGUGUAAGACAUAGAGUUUUAGACUCAGUCAUUGAGGGGGUCUUGCUGAAAGGGAGUUUAGGUCAGGGUAAUGGGGUAUUGUUUAAUAAAGGGGGCACUAUAGUCUGAGGUUUAUGAGGAUAUAAAGAGUAUUGGGGGAUUUACAGUUGGAGGUGAAAGAAGGCUAAGGGACAGAUCAUUUCUGAUUGAAGAUUUGCAUCAGAGAGCAACUACCUUAACCCACAAGCUGCAAAGACUUGUUUAUUGGCCCACAUUUCAAUUUCUGUAAAAUCCUUGUUACUCUAUUUAUAUAUUUUAUUUAUUGUGGUUUCUGGGAUUGGAUCAGUUGACAUGAUCCACAAUGACUUUUUUGAAGGAAAUAUUUGAAACCUCUGUGUUUUCACUUUUUUUUUUUUAAGAACAACUUUCACUAUUGUUCCUAUUUAUUCUGUGUUUAUACGAUAUAUCCAUAAAAAAGGUUGUACAAAGUUUAUGUCAUGAUUUGCGUGACUCUGUGUGAGUCUGACCUACUAGUGCUAUAGUGGAUUAUUUUGUUUAUAAAUUGUGUACUGUUGCUUUAAAUUACUUCAAAAAGAGAAAGUGAAAUACUUUGAUUAACACUAAGAAAUGAGAAAGGCCAGGAAUCACAUGGAAAACUGCAUGUUUUAUUGGGAAUAUUUCUCCUAUUUCUAAAAUGCUAAUGUUUAAAUAUUAAAUUGUGCUUUUGACAUUUUGACAGUUAACAUAUUUUAUGUUAAAAUGGCACCAUUUUUUAUUAAUAAUUUUGCUGAAUGUGAAUCACCUAAACAUAUUGAUAUGUUCUCUUUAUAUUUUAAAAUAAUAUUGAAAACAAAUACGUUUAAUUUUCUCCUCUGGAAUGCGCAUUUUCCUUUUUCAUUGUACUUUGAAGCAUUAGUGAAAGGUGCAGACUGGAUUUUAAGAGUGAAAGCUAAUGUCAGACAGUGGAAGUAAGUGGGGGAUCAGACACACAUACAUACAUAAACACACACACGUCUGUGCUGAGUGUGUGGGGAUCAGGGGGGAGAUACACACACCCCCUUCUUAUUAAUCCCCUCAGUAGUAUGCCCAGUCAUGAGGAGACAGAGUCUGCUAGUCUGUACCUCCUGCCACACACACAUACUGUACAUUUGUGCGCACAUACACAAACACACUUUUUUAGGGAUGUGUGAAGUGUGUCAGUGUUACGAGUCAAUGCCUUUAAAGCUCUGUUGACUUUGAGAAAUGCCUGACUCAGGAGUUUGUUGCUAAAAUCUGUUAGUAGGCUAAAUGUCAGUGUAUAGGUCCACAAGAUAUGCUACCCAUUAUUAUGCUUUCUAACAUGCUAAUUUGGGGUGUUCUGGAUGUGUGUGUGUGUGUGUAUAUAAGAAAGUGGGCAUGUUUUUGUAAAAUAAUAUUCUGAGAUUGUAGGUAAAGCAGCCUUUAAGAUUUGGCAACCAAAAUUAUUAGGCCAGAAAUGGCAGUUACACAGUUUUGGUGUUUGUGCAAAUAAGUGAAAAGGCUGAGUGAUUUCACCCACCCCUCCUUUCCUGGCAGCAUUGUGUUUUAGAACACUGUGUGACUAGCGUUGCACUGCUGAUAUAAAAUCAUGAUUGGAGUAGCACUGCUAAGAUGAAUAAAAUAAAUUGUAGUUUUGUAAAGACUUUUUCUUUGAAAAGUAAGACAAACAUACAUUUAGGCUAUAUAAUUUGUUCAUUGGUUAAUAAAGGGGGGAAAUGCAUGAAAACCUGUGAAAAAACAUCUUUAGUAUUCAGUGUUUGGCCUUUGGCUAUUUUUUUUUUUUUUUGGUUUGUUUUUCGUUCCAGUUUCAAAAAAUGUAAUUCCCUUGCAUCUCUAGAAGGAAGUUAAGGUCUAGGAUUAGAACAUUUUUCUGUAUGUAAAAUACAUGUGGCAUAUAUAACCAACAUAUAGUUUAUACAGGACCAGUACAGACUGCUUCUUCUCUAAUAUACAGAUAUCACAUAAAGCAAGUGCACAUGUGAACUCCCUUAACCUCGCUCAGUCAUUAUUUACAUUAGAAGUAGAGAGCUUUCUGUGGUAUUGCUUUAAUGCAGCGCUUUAAUCCACCACAGAGCUACAGGCUGACACUCUCUGAGCAAGGCCAAUUUCUCCCCCACUAAACACACUAAGAUCUUGUUGAACAGCAGAGAGUGAAGCGCUGAAAAAGAGCCGUUGCAUUGCUUGUCAUUCUGUUCCUCAGUGAAAAUAAUGGAAUGCCUGAAAUCCCUGUGCUAACUAUGUACUUUCUUUAAUACUCAUGAUGUUUUUUUUGUUGUUGUUGUUUUUUUUUUUUUUUAAUAAAUUAACAUUCAUUAUUAAUAAUGUAUAAGUAGCUGGAUUCUCUCUCAUAUCAUUUUUAUAAGGUAGAUAACACAUUAACAAUUACAUAAAAUAUUUCUUAUCUAUUGAAUUACAAUAUGAUAGGUGAGAAAGCUAACUUAUCGCUGGCAUGUAGAAUAAUAGAACCCACCAUCAGACCAACCAAUGGCAACUUAGUUUGACUUUUUCUUUGGCAACUUUAUAAGUGACUGUGUUUUGAGUAAAACAAUGUAUUUAUGU
This is a long non-coding RNA of Astyanax mexicanus (Mexican tetra), 3332 nucleotides long. RefSeq lists it as uncharacterized. Lineage: Eukaryota; Metazoa; Chordata; Actinopteri; Characiformes; Acestrorhamphidae. The transcript has 3 exons. The record is from RefSeq and is a predicted model, not a curated record.